UCGAACGAAGCGCUUGGAUGGAAUUCUUUGGAAGGAAGCUCAAGUGACUGAGUGGCGGACGGGUGAGUAACGCGUGGGUAACCUGCCUCAUACAGGGGGAUAACAGUUAGAAAUGACUGCUAAUACCGCAUAAGCACACGUGAUCGCAUGAUCGAGUGUGAAAAACUCCGGUGGUAUGAGAUGGACCCGCGUCUGAUUAGCUAGUUGGUGGGGUAAUGGCCCACCAAGGCGACGAUCAGUAGCCGGCCUGAGAGGGUGAACGGCCACAUUGGGACUGAGACACGGCCCAAACUCCUACGGGAGGCAGCAGUGGGGAAUAUUGCACAAUGGGGGAAACCCUGAUGCAGCGACGCCGCGUGAAGGAUGAAGUAUUUCGGUAUGUAAACUUCUAUCAGCAGGGAAGAAAAUGACGGUACCUGACUAAGAAGCCCCGGCUAACUACGUGCCAGCAGCCGCGGUAAUACGUAGGGGGCAAGCGUUAUCCGGAUUUACUGGGUAUAAAGGGAGCGUAGACGGCAGUGCAAGUCUGAAGUGAAAGCCCGGGGCUCAACCCCGGGACUGCUUUGGAAACUGUGCAGCUAGAGUGUCGGAGAGGCAAGCGGAAUUCCUAGUGUAGCGGUGAAAUGCGUAGAUAUUAGGAGGAACACCAGUGGCGAAGGCGGCUUGCUGGACGAUGACUGACGUUGAGGCUCGAAAGCGUGGGGAGCAAACAGG
This 714-nucleotide ribosomal RNA is filed under the name uncultured Lachnospiraceae bacterium. RNAcentral's name for it is "bacterial SSU rRNA". It matches the Rfam family "Bacterial small subunit ribosomal RNA", at positions 62 to 776 of the family's 1533-position model. The record is from RNAcentral. Lineage: Bacteria; Bacillati; Bacillota; Clostridia; Lachnospirales; Lachnospiraceae.